This 491-nucleotide ribosomal RNA is filed under the name uncultured bacterium. Its description in RNAcentral is "partial 16S ribosomal RNA". It matches the Rfam family "Bacterial small subunit ribosomal RNA", at positions 28 to 506 of the family's 1533-position model. The record is from RNAcentral.
GAUGAACGCUAGCUACAGGCUUAACACAUGCAAGUCGAGGGGAAACGACAUCGAAAGCUUGCUUUUGAUGGGCGUCGACCGGCGCACGGGUGAGUAACGCGUAUCCAACCUGCCCAUCACUUGGGAAUAACCUUGCGAAAGUAAGACUAAUACCCAAUGAUAUCCCACGAAGGCAUCGGAAUGGGAUUAAAGAUUUAUCGGUGAUGGAUGGGGAUGCGUCUGAUUAGCUUGUUGGCGGGGUAACGGCCCACCAAGGCAACGAUCAGUAGGGGUUCUGAGAGGAAGGUCCCCCACAUUGGAACUGAGACACGGUCCAAACUCCUACGGGAGGCAGCAGUGAGGAAUAUUGGUCAAUGGGCGAGAGCCUGAACCAGCCAAGUAGCGUGCAGGAAGACGGCCCUAUGGGUUGUAAACUGCUUUUAUAAGGGAAUAAAGUGGGUCACGUGUGACUUUUUGCAUGUACCUUAUGAAUAAAGACCGGCGAAUUCCGU